RNAcentral lists this unclassified non-coding RNA (499 nucleotides) under uncultured Glomus. Its description in RNAcentral is "SSU rRNA". It matches the Rfam family "Eukaryotic small subunit ribosomal RNA", at positions 591 to 1092 of the family's 1831-position model. Lineage: Eukaryota; Fungi; Glomeromycota; Glomeromycetes; Glomerales; Glomeraceae. The record is from RNAcentral.
CCAAUAGCGUAUAUUAAAGUUGCUGCAGUUAAAAAGCUCGUAGUUGAAUUUCGGGACUAAUAUGUCGGUCGUGCCUCGGUACGUACUGGUAUUUUUGGUUUCUCCCUUCUGACGAACCUUGAUGUCAUUAAUUUGGUGUCUUGGGAAAUCAGGACUGUUACUUUGAAAAAAUUAGAGUGUUUAAAGCAGGCUCACGCUUGAAUACAUUAGCAUGGAAUAAUGAAAUAGGACGUUUGAUUCUAUUUUGUUGGUUUCUAGGAUUGACGUAAUGAUUAAUAGGGAUAGUUGGGGGCAUUAGUAUUCAAUUGUCAGAGGUGAAAUUCUUGGAUUUAUUGAAGACUAACUACUGCGAAAGCAUGUGCCAAGGAUGUUUUCAUUAAUCAAGAACGAAAGUUAGGGGAUCGAAGACGAUCAGAUACCGUCGUAGUCUUAACCAUAAACUAUGCCGACUAGGGAUCGGAUGAUGUUAAUUUUUUAAUGACUCAUUCGGCGCCUUACG